GACGAACGCCGGCGGCGUGCCUUAGGCAUGCAAGUAGAACGAGCUAAAUUCGGUUAGAAAGUCGCGAACGGCUGAGUAACACGUAAGAAUCUACCCCUUGGCGCGGAAUACCCAAUCGAAAGAGGAAGUAAUACCACAUAAGAUCUCCGGAUGAAAGGAUGUAACUAUCCGCCGAGGGAGGAGCUUGCGGCCCAUCAGCUUGUUGGUAGGGUAAAAGGCCUACCAAGGCUUUGACGGGUAGGGGGCGUGAGAGCGUGUUCCCCCAGAAUGGCACUGAGACACGGGCCAUACACCUACGGGUGGCAGCAACCGGGAAUUGUACACAAUGGACGAAAGUCUGAUGUCGCGACGCCGCGUGAAGGAUGAAGGCCUUUGGGUCGUAAACUUCUUUUGGCUAAAUGGAAACAUUUGGCAGAAUAAGCACCCGCUAACUACGUGCCAGCAGCUGCGGUGAUACGUAGGGUGCAAGCGUUGUCCGGAGUUAUUGGGCGUAAAGAGUUCGUAGGCGUUUUUCUAAGUUGUUUUUCAAAUACCAGGGCUUAACUUUGGGAAGGGGAACAAUACUACUAGAAUUGAAGAAUGUCGGGGUUACUGGAAUUGUCGGUGUAGGGGUGAAAUCCGUUGAUAUCGACAAGAACACCAAGGGCGAAGGCGGGUAACUGGGGGGCACUAUUUGACGCUGAGGAACGAAAGCUAGGGUAGCGAAAGGGAUUAGAGACCCUGUAGUCCUAGCCGUAAACGAUGCUCGCUAGGGAUGUGGGAUUUAUCUUCGCGGCUCGUAAGCUAACGCGUUAAGCGAGCCGCCUGGGGAGUACGGUCGCAAGACUAAAACUCAAAGGAAUUGACGGG
This 849-nucleotide ribosomal RNA is filed under the name uncultured bacterium. RNAcentral describes it as "bacterial SSU rRNA". It matches the Rfam family "Bacterial small subunit ribosomal RNA", at positions 28 to 917 of the family's 1533-position model. The record is from RNAcentral.